This 3013-nucleotide long non-coding RNA is filed under the name Sus scrofa (pig). Its description in RNAcentral is "lncRNA (ENSSSCG00000059743.1)". The record is from RNAcentral. Lineage: Eukaryota; Metazoa; Chordata; Mammalia; Artiodactyla; Suidae.
CCCAACUUGCUUUGGCCAAUGGCAUGUUAGUAUAUGUGAUGUGAAUAGGCCUUCAAUAUGUUCACACAGUUUGGGCUUGGCUGCAGUGCUCUGCCACCUGCAUGAGUGAAGCAUGCACCGGGUAGCCGCUUCCCUUAAGCCUCAGCCCCUCAAAAAGACACAUAUAUAGCAGACCUGAACCCAAACCACUCCUAGAAGGAAGAUCACCUAGUCCACAGUAGGAAGCAGAGCCAUUCAGCUGAGCCCUUCACAGAUCAGCCAAACCACAAUUAACCUGAUGACCUGUGACCAAGAAAAGUGUAUGCCUAUUAUAAAAGCUGAGCUUGAGGGUGGUUUGUUAAAGCAAUACCUGAUGACACCAAUAGGCAGACUUAGGGUAGUGUGGUUAAGAGUGCAGACUAUAAGGCUUAACUCUUUAGGUCAAAUCUGUACCAUUUAUUAGCUACAUAUCCUUGUGCAAGUUAUUUAAACCACAACUGGUUUUCCCAUUCAUAAAAUGGGAUAAUAAUACAUAUCUUAUAAUAGUACCUAAUGGUAAUAAUAAUAGUACCUAAAUGGGAUAAUAAUGCAUAUCUUAUAAUAGUGCCUAAUGGUCAUAAUAAUAGUACCUAAUGGUAAUAAUAGCAGUGCCUAUAAAUACUUAAUAUUUAUAAAGUGCUUGGUACAGUGCCUGGCACAUAGGAGCUCCUGUAAUAGUGUAUAUGGGAUGUAUAUAUAUAUAUACAAACAUUAUCAACCCAUAAAUGUGUCAACAAAGUACCCACAUCAAGAACAUUAUACUUUCUAUACUGGUUGCUGCUGCAAGAGGAUGCUUGAAUCUCUGGAGACAUUCUUCCCGUAAUUAGGAGUCUCUGCUGAGGCUUCCUUCUGAUGAGUCGAAUGACCUGGAUUUGAAUUCUUAUUCCACCAUCUAAGACCCAGGACACUGUGCCAGACACCAGGUCAUAAUUCCCUCCUCGGGAAAUGGGGACUCUAACAGUUCUUAGCUCUGUUAUAUAAAACAUUUCAAUACAACCAUGCUUAUACAUACUUCAUAAAUGUUAACUCUUCUUAAUUUGGGCAAAUAAGUUUAAGAACAACCAUAUCUCCUUUAGCUUGUUAAGAAGCGGAUUGUAACUUCAAAGUGUUGUUUGCCUAAAUUCACCAAAAGAUAACCUUCUCUGACCUACCUAAGGCAGACUAUAUUUUUUAAAAGAGCACUUAAAACCAACAAAAAUAAGCCUGAAGCAAUUUCUCUCCUUUACUAUCACAAAUUUUUUUUAGCUUUUAUUUUCAUUUUGUUCUGAUAUAUCAGUAUAAUACAAAUCAUGGAAAUCAUAAAAUGAUUCCCGUUAUUAUGUCUGUGUUAUCAUCCCUUUAUUUUUAUGUAAAUAAUGUUGUCUCCACUUUCUAUUUACUAACAAUAUUUCUAGCAUUAAUCAAAAAGAGCCCUCAGAUCACAUUCAACUCAAUAGCAAUUUAAUUUAAAAGGUAAGAGAUGUGGAUUAUAUGCAAUACUAAGCCACAAUGUGUGUAUCUUUUACAUGAAAAUAACCUUAAUUUCCCUGCUUGACUGAGAAAAGAAAUAAAAAGAAUGAUUGCUAUAAAUCAGGAAAAAUUCAUAACUUGCUGGAGGUGUAACAGCUGUUGAUUUAAGGUUUGCAUCUUUGAUAAUAUGAUGCUGCUGGGAAGAUAACAUCUUUUUGACAAAGCUGUGAACAUAAAAAUUACAAGGCUUUACACAAUAUUUAAAUAUUUCCUGUGUAUCACAGAAAAAAAAAUUAUUUACUUAUACUAAAAUGUGUUUGAAGUAUACUGUACCUCAUCAGCAAGCUUUAUAAUAAAAUUCAGUGUUUCUCUGUUUCAUAGGUGUACAGUAGACUUGUCACAUCAAAAAUUAAAAGUACUUAAAUUAGCCUCAGUUUACAGAAAUGGUCUGCUAUUAUUAUGUAUAGAUAGUUCCUGCCACUGGUAACACAAGCACAAAAUUGAGCGAACGCUUGGGAUAUUACUCAUUUCUUUUAUUAUCAGCUAGAGGUAGGUGAUUGAAAAACUAGGUGACAAAACAAAGCAAGUAUUGCAUUGACUAGGAAAAAAUAUCUGCAAAGUGGAAUCUUGAAAAUGAGUAAAAGAGAAUAACUUUGCCAUGCAGUUAGAAACAAUAGCAGUGUUUUUACUUAUCUAAAGGUUGCUGUGUUAUUGCAUGCGUUCUUGCACUGUUGACUCACAAACUAUGAAAUUUUAUGCUGAGCUUUUGUGUUUCUCAUGUAUCAGAACUGAGAACAUCAUCAGGGAAGUGCCAAGAAUGACACGAGUAAUGGCCUUGUCUCCUUACUCUUCAACAAACCUCAAUGUGCUUCCUUUCUUCUGUGAAUUGUACUUAGAGAGUCAUAUGGGAUUCUUAUUUUUUUUUUUCUUUAAAUGCUUCUCUUACUUAAGACUACCUUGCAUUGUCAUAGAAACUCAUGUAUAACCCAGCCUGCAGUCAUCAAAGUCACUUUUUUGUUUGAAUAUUCCGUAAACUGAUUUGAUUGCCCAUGCCAUAUGUUUGGAGAAAUCCAAAUCCUUCCUUUUCCCCUGGAGAAUUGGGGUAGAGUUGCUUACCAUUCUUGUGCACACAUCUCCCUUUCAAUUUUACUCUGAAUUCCUGCUCUUGCUUAAUUCUUGGUCCCUGCCAGUUGUUUCUCCCCUGGAGCUACCGUCUUCUCUCUGUACUGAUUUAUCCCAAGUUGGACUCUAUUCCUGACUCCUUGUACAAAGCACCAUUACCUGAGGUUGUGUAUACAAUAGUGUUAUUGGAGGCUUCAGGAGAACAUAAAACAGCUUAGAGUUGAAUGUUGAACAUCACUGUUCACUUAUUUAUUCAUUUGACUAAUAUUUUUUAAAUAUCUACCAUGGGCAGGUACUCGUCAAGAUCAUGGAGACACACCCAUGAACAAAAUAUUUUUUAAACCUUGGUUUUAUAGACCUUGUAUGCCAGUUAUGGAAGAAAGUUAAAAUAAGUAAAAUGUAUGUCACAGAAUGGUUUUGUCAC